CGACGCGUUGGCCCAAUUGAUUGACGGUGCUUGCACCUGAUUGAUUUUCCCCUUAACGAGUGGCGGACGGGUGAGUAACACGUAGGUAACCUGCCCUGAAGCGGGGGACAACAUUUGGAAACAGAUGCUAAUACCGCAUAACAACGUUGUUCGCAUGAACAACGCUUAAAAGAUGGCUUCUCGCUAUCACUUCUGGAUGGACCUGCGGUGCAUUAGCUUGUUGGUGGGGUAACGGCCUACCAAGGCGAUGAUGCAUAGCCGAGUUGAGAGACUGAUCGGCCACAAUGGGACUGAGACACGGCCCAUACUCCUACGGGAGGCAGCAGUAGGGAAUCUUCCACAAUGGGCGCAAGCCUGAUGGAGCAACACCGCGUGAGUGAAGAAGGGUUUCGGCUCGUAAAGCUCUGUUGUUAAAGAAGAACACGUAUGAGAGUAACUGUUCAUACGUUGACGGUAUUUAACCAGAAAGUCACGGCUAACUACGUGCCAGCAGCCGCGGUAAUACGUAGGUGGCAAGCGUUAUCCGGAUUUAUUGGGCGUAAAGAGAGUGCAGGCGGUUUUCUAAGUCUGAUGUGAAAGCCUUCGGCUUAACCGGAGAAGUGCAUCGGAAACUGGAUAACUUGAGUGCAGAAGAGGGUAGUGGAACUCCAUGUGUAGCGGUGGAAUGCGUAGAUAUAUGGAAGAACACCAGUG
This 693-nucleotide ribosomal RNA is filed under the name uncultured bacterium. RNAcentral describes it as "bacterial SSU rRNA". It matches the Rfam family "Bacterial small subunit ribosomal RNA", at positions 40 to 714 of the family's 1533-position model. The record is from RNAcentral.